GCGGGUUUGCGCGACUGGCGAUAGGGCCGCACGGCCCGAGGUGGACGACCACCGUGGAGCGCACACCGGCCCGAUGAAAUUCGGCCGAUUCAGCCGUUCGCCUGGGCAGCCCGA
RNAcentral lists this non-coding RNA (114 nucleotides) under Burkholderiales bacterium. RNAcentral's name for it is "ZTP sequence". It matches the Rfam family "ZMP/ZTP riboswitch aptamer (pfl RNA motif)". From Rfam's summary of the family: Previously known as pfl RNA. ZMP is also known as AICAR. The record is from RNAcentral. Lineage: Bacteria; Pseudomonadati; Pseudomonadota; Betaproteobacteria; Burkholderiales.